Long non-coding RNA from Chiroxiphia lanceolata (lance-tailed manakin), 479 nucleotides. RefSeq lists it as uncharacterized. The record is from RefSeq and is a predicted model, not a curated record. The transcript has 2 exons. Lineage: Eukaryota; Metazoa; Chordata; Aves; Passeriformes; Pipridae.
AGAUGGAGUGUCGGUGUUACUGCUGCGUGACCCCCAGUCCCAAGCCUGACGGCAGAAGCAGCACGCUCCCAGCCGGAGGAUGAAGUGUUUGCAGCGCUGCAGCCGCGGGUUCCAGCCCGCCCGCCCCCGCAGGCCGGGGCAGGCGCUGUGCCGGCUCGGUGCCGCUGCUCCAGCUGCCCGCAGCCCGGCUGCUCGGAGGGCAGCAGCUCGGCAAGGCUGCCGGCAGGGCCAGGUGUGCACCACCCCUCUUCACACCGCUUUUGACGUGCUCUUGCUGUUGUGCGUGUGAACGUGAGUGGUUUGCGCCUGGCGGAGAGCCCCGCUGCCUUCCCAGGCAACGCCGGUGCCAGCGGCUCCGGAUACGCUGCCGGCCCAGGAGUCACUUCGUGACUUUUGCGCUAACAUGAUGUGUUCCUGCUGCUUUGAGAACGACAAAGCUCUGUUGUACUUGUGCCAAAAUAAAGGCAUUUUACACUGUG